This is a long non-coding RNA of Vanessa atalanta (red admiral), 155 nucleotides long. RefSeq lists it as uncharacterized. The record is from RefSeq and is a predicted model, not a curated record. Lineage: Eukaryota; Metazoa; Arthropoda; Insecta; Lepidoptera; Nymphalidae. The transcript has 2 exons.
GCCCAAUGAAAAUCCGCCACAAGCAGCCACGCCAUGUUGCGAGCUACUUAGUGCUUGGCAUUCAACGAGGGAUUAUGUGGGCGCCUAUAAAAGAAAAUGUGACUUUCGUUUUAAUACGAAAUUACCAUUAGCCUUAGAAUUAAUUCUGAAGCCAA